UUUACCAUUUUAAAUUUCCAUCCUUACUGGUCAAGACAAGGCACUAAACUACCAUUAAUAAUAUCUCAUCAAUUUUUUCGCUAGGCGGUCAUUCAUAUCAGUACAUCCCAACUUUUUAAAACGCUUUGCUAACGUAAGAUGAAUCUCGCAAAUCCUCUCCUUUAUCAACACCUUCUUAAUUAGAAUCACUCUCAACCGUUGAAAAAGCUACACCUCCCCAACAUGUCAUUGGUUCACACUUUUGAUUGAAAAUAUUCCGAAACAUUAACCACCCAUCAGCGUGUUCAUCCAUUCACCCUCAUUUCAUUAUCUACCUAAAGUUUUGAACUGUCCUCCGUUCGAGCAACCCGCGAGACUAACCUUUGCUAUUAUAGAGAAGAAUUUUUAGGUAAGGGCGGUAUUCUGUACAAUUAUGAGCAUGUUUGGUCCUCCUUAUUUUCCACUUCUCUUCUAGUUUUAAGGAGAAGUAUGACCCAACACAAUUUUAAUAAAGUUCUUAAUAAUUGAAGUAUCUUUUUUUUGGAAGGAAAGAAAUGAAAUAGAAGUGACUUUUAAAAUAAGAUGUAAAAUUGAACUUUUGGCCAACUUUUCGGAGCUACCAUUCACUGCCCACACAUCGAUUCCCGCAGAAACUAGUUUUUAUUUUAUUUUAUUUUUUCUUGGCACUGUUCCCGCUGAUUUUAUUUUCCUUUUCAAGUAUACCCGCCAAAACACAUAACCUAAUUGUAUAUAUUCUGAUCCAACUUUCUCCUCCAUCCAUUCUCUGCUGUCUGCCGCUGCGGUCGCUGUCUAGUGCAGGGUUGACGGCGUGCAUGAUUAGUUUGUUUUCGGUGAGUUGCUUGGAUAGCGGGAGCUAUCUUCGUUAUCUCUUCUUGGAGUCUUAGAUGUAGGCUCUGAUCUAGGAUGUCUGUCUUUAUGAUUAUUCUAGAUUUUUUAUUCUGGACUUAUUUAUGUUGUGGAGACUUUCCCAAUUGUCGGGAUUUGGAGAAUUUAUAUGAUGAUGUAUUUUAAUCUCAUGGCAUGUAUACUUUGUGGAGAAAUUUUAUAUAUGUUUUAUUCGCGUGUU
RNAcentral lists this long non-coding RNA (1066 nucleotides) under Medicago truncatula (barrel medic). RNAcentral's name for it is "lncRNA gene22290". Lineage: Eukaryota; Viridiplantae; Streptophyta; Magnoliopsida; Fabales; Fabaceae. The record is from RNAcentral.